UAAGUAGCAAAUGACACCCACCAGCAUCUGGUGAGCUGUCAGGUGCCAGAAGGUGUUUGUAGUGGUAAUUUGGCCAUCUGCAAUCUGUGUUGUCAGUGUAUUGUAAGUUAUCACUGUCUCAGGCAAUAUUAACUUGCAGUGUUCUUCUGACACUUCUUCAGUGGGUUGUGAAGCAGGCAUAUGCCUGUUUCAGGUGUUCUGAGUCACUUUUGUGGCACGCUUCUACAUUGUGAAGAACACAAGACAUAGGAAAAUAUGGCCCACCGUAAUUACAUAUUUUGCAAAUUACUUAGCAAGCUCACAAAAGGUUGUUGACACUCAAGAACUCCUUGGACUACUUUGUGGGUUCUUUCCAACUCAGGAUAAUCUAUAAUUCUAUGAAAAGAAAUAUCAGAUAAUCUCUUGACU
Long non-coding RNA from Passer domesticus (house sparrow), 408 nucleotides. RefSeq lists it as uncharacterized. Lineage: Eukaryota; Metazoa; Chordata; Aves; Passeriformes; Passeridae. The record is from RefSeq and is a predicted model, not a curated record. The transcript has 3 exons.